CUCGUUCCCCACUCGCUCCGCUACCCACCGCCCUCUCCCGGACGUCGUCGUGUCUCUCCGUCUCACCGCCCUGUAUCCGUCGCUGUCGUGUCGCUCCCGCGUCACCACCCUCUUCCUCCCCAAUCCCCACGGCCGCCUUGCUCCCCAUCACCUGUGCCCACUUUGACAGCCCCCAACCCUAGUUCUCUCACACCCCGUAGGUCAAAGGUUGAAUUUGUAUCCGCCGCUGAUGGUGCUGCUGGGCGAUGACACACUUGAUUUGAGUUCGUCGGCGCUGGAUCCGCGUGCGCCGGCGCUUGAUCUUCUCCGUCGUGGCUCCGGGACAGGAAGGCUACCCCGACGACAUAUAGGAUCACAAAGGAAUAUCAAAUGUAGCACUAGCUGAAUGUCCAUUGAUCCCACUAUUGGUGCCAGAAGUGGACCAGUCAGAAGAGGAAGUAGUGGAUAAAACAAGAAUCCAUGACCACAUCAGCAAUCUUCGGUUCUCUCUAUCACCAACCGCAUUUUUUCAGGUUAAUACUCUUGCUGCAGAAAGAUUGUACACCCUUGCUAGCGAUUGUGCCAAUCUCAAUUCAGACACAUUACUUUUUGACGUAUGCUGUGGGACUGGAACAAUUGGCCUGACAUUAGCACAUCAUGUUGUAAUGGUUGUUGGAAUUGAAAUGAAUGAAUCAGCAGUUUUGGAUGCUCAGAGAAAUGCUCUUAUUAACGGUAUGAAAAAUUGUCAUUUUGUCUGCAGGAAGGCUGAAGAUGUGAUGGGGUCUCUCCUCACAGAGUAUCUUGGUUUGCUACAGCAGUGCAUUGCAGCUUUUGGAAGUAAUUCAGAAGUUAAUGCUUCAGGGAAAAAGAGGAUAUAGUUGGUGGUGCAGAGAAUAAUGGUAAAAGUAUGGAUAGCUCAACAUAGAAAAAUGACAAUGGUGAAAAUCAACAGUUGGGAGACAAAUUAGCCAAUCAUCCAACUUGUUCUAGCGAUGAGAAAAAUGAGGACUUGAAUGAUGGGGUUAGCAAAGAGUUGGAAGGUGGACAUUUGCAAUGCAAUGAGGCUGUUCCUAAACGAAAUAGCGAGGAAGCAUCAUCAUUGGUGAAUGAGGACUCCAUUGAUGCAAAAGCAGCUGACUGUUUAGAGCACACCAAAACACGCGAGGAUGGUUCUUCGAUCUCUAACAAUGACGUGCUUGCAACUAAUGCAUCUCAGUUCAAGAACUUUGUUACUAUUGUAGACCCUCCACGUGUUAGGCUUCAGCCUACUGUAAGUAAAUUUCUCUCUUUAGUUUUCUUACCAUAAAUAUUAUUUACUUUUAUGUUUGGAAAUGCUUAUGUUUAACAUUUGCCAAUGGAGAAAUGAUACACAUCCCUUGGUUCACCGUUGGUUUUAACUUCCAUCAUUAUUUGAAUUUGACCAGCAUGUUAUAGUUGACACUUUGGGAAAGAUUUAGUCAGCACAUUGGUAAUUUAGUCAGAUAUAAUGCCAUUUUGGAGAUGCCAUAUGAAGAUUUUAGGGUUGUAAUGUAAUUUAGUCAGAAAACACAUAAUGUUGAUUACUUUGAGCCUUUGAGUUAGAAGGUAUACCCAUCUCUUUGCAGUGUGCUCUUAAUACACUCUUCCCUUCACCAUGCUGAGAUGUUUAAGUCUUUCCACUUAUCAGUUUUUAAUUCCAUUUGAAGUGAUGCAUAUUCAAAUCAUUUUCCAGUCCUUUGAGCUGUUGAAUGAAUAAAUGACAACGUAUUAGCAUCACAACCAAACAGUAACAGAAAUCGUCUUAUCAAAAGAUGGUGUAGUGGGACUAAUGACUAACCAUAGCAUUGAGGUUU
Molecule: long non-coding RNA, 1811 nt
Organism: Triticum aestivum (bread wheat)
Lineage: Eukaryota; Viridiplantae; Streptophyta; Magnoliopsida; Poales; Poaceae
Exons: 5
Source: RefSeq, a predicted model, not a curated record